AAGCCCCUAGUAAAAUCAUUACAUAGCCCUGUCAGUGCUAAAUUAUAGACUAAUCUCUUUGCGGCUUU
RNAcentral lists this transfer RNA (68 nucleotides) under Pachydactylus punctatus. RNAcentral's name for it is "tRNA-Asp". The record is from RNAcentral. Lineage: Eukaryota; Metazoa; Chordata; Lepidosauria; Squamata; Gekkonidae.